UCGAUUAGGCUGAACCUGAGCACUUAGCCA
RNAcentral lists this non-coding RNA (30 nucleotides) under Homo sapiens (human). Lineage: Eukaryota; Metazoa; Chordata; Mammalia; Primates; Hominidae. The record is from RNAcentral.